GUCCCUGUAGCACAAUGGACUUCUAAUAUGGCCCAAUUGGACUUGUAAUUGAAAGGUCGUGGGUUAGAAUCCCACCUGGGACG
Molecule: non-coding RNA, 83 nt
Organism: Trichonephila inaurata madagascariensis
Lineage: Eukaryota; Metazoa; Arthropoda; Arachnida; Araneae; Nephilidae
Source: the annotation of a GenBank genome assembly